UACGAGAAGGCAGCUACACGGCGACGUGAUGCUAAUCCCGAAAGCCUCUCUCAGUUCGGAUUGGAGUCUGCAACCCGACUCCAUGAAGCUGGAUUCGCUAGUAAUCGCGCAUCAGCCACGGCGCGGUGAAUACGUUCCCGGGCCUUGUACACACCGCCCGUCAAGCCAUGAAAGCCGGGGGUACCUGAAGUGCGUAACCGCAAGGAGCGCCCUAGGGUAAAACUGGUGAUUGGGGCUAAGUCGUAACAAGGUAAC
Molecule: ribosomal RNA, 255 nt
Filed under: uncultured bacterium
Lineage: Bacteria
Description: partial 16S ribosomal RNA
Rfam family: Bacterial small subunit ribosomal RNA
Source: RNAcentral